This 404-nucleotide ribosomal RNA is filed under the name Fusobacteriota bacterium. RNAcentral's name for it is "Fusobacteria bacterium partial 16S ribosomal RNA". It matches the Rfam family "Bacterial small subunit ribosomal RNA", at positions 355 to 776 of the family's 1533-position model. The record is from RNAcentral. Lineage: Bacteria; Fusobacteriati; Fusobacteriota.
UGGGGAAUAUUGCACAAUGGAGGGAACUCUGAUGCAGCGACGCCGCGUGAGUGAUGAAGGACUUCGUUUCGUAAAACUCUGUUCUAUGGGAAGAAAAGGACUGUACCAUAGGAGAAAGCUCCGGCUAAAUACGUGCCAGCAGCCGCGGUAAUACGUAUGGAGCGAGCGUUGUCCGGAAUUAUUGGGCGUAAAGGGUGCGCAGGCGGCUUUACAAGUUGGAUGUGAAAUAUUGUGGCUCAACCACAAACGUGCAUCCAAAACUGCAAAGCUUGAGUUAAGGAGAGGUAAGUGGAAUUCCUGGUGUAGCGGUGGAAUGCGGAGAUAUCAGGAGGAAUACCGGUGGCGAAGGCGACUUACUGGACUUAAACUGACGCUCAGGCACGAAAGCGUGGGGAGCAAACAGG